UACGGGGGGGGCAAGCGUUGUUCGGAAUUACUGGGCGUAAAGGGCUCGUAGGCGGCCAACUAAGUCAGACGUGAAAUCCCUCGGCUUAACCGGGGAACUGCAUCUGAUACUGGAUGGCUUGAGUUCGGGAGAGGGAUGCGGAAUUCCAGGUGUAGCGGUGAAAUGCGCAGAUAUCGGGAGGAACACCCGUAGCGAAGGCGGCACUCUGGGCCGGUACUGACGCUGAGGAGCGAAAGCGUGGGGAGCAAACAGG
This 253-nucleotide ribosomal RNA is filed under the name uncultured bacterium. RNAcentral describes it as "partial 16S ribosomal RNA". It matches the Rfam family "Bacterial small subunit ribosomal RNA", at positions 524 to 776 of the family's 1533-position model. The record is from RNAcentral.